RNAcentral lists this ribosomal RNA (253 nucleotides) under uncultured bacterium. Its description in RNAcentral is "partial 16S ribosomal RNA". It matches the Rfam family "Bacterial small subunit ribosomal RNA", at positions 524 to 776 of the family's 1533-position model. The record is from RNAcentral.
UACGGGGGGAGCAAGCGUUGUUCGGAUUUACUGGGCGUAAAGGGCGCGUAGGCGGCACCGCAAGUCGACUGUGAAAUCUCCGGGCUUAACCCGGAAAGGUCAGCCGAUACUGCGGGGCUAGAGUGCAGAAGGGGCAACUGGAAUUCUCGGUGUAGCGGUGAAAUGCGUAGAUAUCGAGAGGAACACCGGCGGCGAAGGCGGGUUGCUGGGCUGACACUGACGCUGAUGCGCGAAAGCUAGGGGAGCGAACGGG